GCAAGUCGAGCGGCAGCGCGGGGCAACCUGGCGGCGAGCGGCGAACGGGUGAGUAACAUAUCGGAACGUAUCCAUAAGUGGGGGACAACCUAGCGAAAGUUAGGCUAAUACCGCAUACGCUCGAGAGAGGAAAGUGGGGGAUCGCAAGACCUCACGCUUUAGGAGCGGCCGAUAUCCGAUUAGCUAGAUGGUGAGGUAAAGGCUUACCAUGGCGACGAUCGGUAGCUGGUCUGAGAGGAUGAUCAGCCACACUGGGACUGAGACACGGCCCAGACUCCUACGGGAGGCAGCAGUGGGGAAUUUUGGACAAUGGGGGCAACCCUGAUCCAGCCAUUCCGCGUGAGUGAAGAAGGCCUUCGGGUUGUAAAGCUCUUUUGUUCGGGACGAAACGGUUUUGGUGAAUACCCAAGACUACUGACGGUACCGGAGGAAUAAGCACCGGCUAACUACGUGCCAGCAGCCGCGGUAAUACGUAGGGUGCGAGCGUUAAUCGGAAUUACUGGGCGUAAAGCGUGCGCAGGCGGUUUUAUAAGCCAGAUGUGAAAGCCCCGGGCUCAACCUGGGAAUGGCAUUUGGGACUGUAAGGCUGGAGUAUGGCAGAGGAGACUAGAAUUCCUGGUGUAGCAGUGAAAUGCGUAGAUAUCAGGAGGAAUACCGAUGGCGAAGGCAGGUCUCUGGGCCAAUACUGACGCUCAUGCACGAAAGCGUGGGGA
RNAcentral lists this ribosomal RNA (713 nucleotides) under uncultured soil bacterium. RNAcentral describes it as "bacterial SSU rRNA". It matches the Rfam family "Bacterial small subunit ribosomal RNA", at positions 57 to 767 of the family's 1533-position model. The record is from RNAcentral.